Molecule: ribosomal RNA, 886 nt
Filed under: uncultured bacterium
Lineage: Bacteria
Description: bacterial SSU rRNA
Rfam family: Bacterial small subunit ribosomal RNA
Source: RNAcentral
GCUCAGGACGAACGCUGGCGGCGUGCUUUACACAUGCAAGUCGAACGAUGAUGGGGUGCUUGCAUCCCUGAUUAGUGGCGAACGGGUGAGUAACACGUGAGUAACCUGCCCCAGACUCUGGGAUAACUCCGGGAAACCGGGUCUAAUACUGGAUAUCAUUUCUGCCUGCAUGGGUGGUUGUUGAAAGGGUUUCUGGUCUGGGAUGGGCUCGCGGCCUAUCAGCUUGUUGGUGGGGUGAUGGCCUACCAAGGCGAUGACGGGUAGCCGGCCUGAGAGGGUGACCGGCCACACUGGGACUGAGACACGGCCCAGACUCCUACGGGAGGCAGCAGUGGGGAAUAUUGCACAAUGGGCGCAAGCCUGAUGCAGCGACGCCGCGUGAGGGAUGACGGCCUUCGGGUUGUAAACCUCUUUCAGUAGGGAAGAAGCUUUCGGGUGACGGUACCUGCAGAAGAAGCGCCGGCUAACUACGUGCCAGCAGCCGCGGUAAUACGUAGGGCGCAAGCGUUGUCCGGAAUUAUUGGGCGUAAAGAGCUCGUAGGCGGUUUGUCGCGUCGACUGUGAAAACCCGCAGCUCAACUGCGGGCCUGCAGUCGAUACGGGCAGGCUAGAGUUCGGUAGGGGAGACUGGAAUUCCUGGUGUAGCGGUGAAAUGCGCAGAUAUCAGGAGGAACACCGAUGGCGAAGGCAGGUCUCUGGGCCGUUACUGACGCUGAUGAGCGAAAGCAUGGGGAGCGAACAGGAUUAGAUACCCUGGUAGUCCAUGCCGUAAACGUUGGGCACUAGGUGUGGGGUCUGUUUCCACGGAUUCCGCGCCGUAGCUAACGCAUUAAGUGCCCCGCCUGGGGAGUACGGCCGCAAGGCUAAAACUCAAAGGAAUUGACGG